CCUACGGGUGGCAGCAGUGAGGAAUAUUGGUCAAUGGGCGCGAGUCUGAACCAGCCAAGUAGCGUGAAGGAUGACUGCUCUAUGGGUUGUAAACUUCUUUUAUACAGGAAUAAAGUGAGGUACGUGUGCCUGUUUGUAAGUACUUUAUGAAUAAGGAUCGGCUAAUUCCGUGCCAGCAGCCGCGGUAAUACGGAGGAUCCGAGCGUUAUCCGGAUUUAUUGGGUUUAAAGGGUGCGUAGGCGGGUUGUUAAGUUAGAUGUGAAAUGUUGCGGCUCAACCGUAAAAUUGCAAUUGAUACUGGUGGUCUUGAGAACAGUUGAGGUAGGCGGAAUUCGUGGUGUAGCGGUGAAAUGCUUAGAGAUCAUGAAGAACACCGAUUGCGAAGGCAGCUUACUAAACU
This 400-nucleotide ribosomal RNA is filed under the name uncultured bacterium. RNAcentral describes it as "partial 16S ribosomal RNA". It matches the Rfam family "Bacterial small subunit ribosomal RNA", at positions 338 to 735 of the family's 1533-position model. The record is from RNAcentral.